This 89-nucleotide unclassified non-coding RNA is filed under the name Pseudomonas granadensis. The record is from RNAcentral. Lineage: Bacteria; Pseudomonadati; Pseudomonadota; Gammaproteobacteria; Pseudomonadales; Pseudomonadaceae.
UGUAGGAGUGAGCCUGCUCGCGAUAGCGGUGUGUCAGUCGGUGAAAAUGUCACUGAUAUACCGCUAUCGCGAGCAGGCUCACUCCUACA